UCCAACAAUCUUAACCCAUGGCACUACAUUAAAAUACAAUACAUUUUUGUUUUAAAGCCUAAUUAUUUGGACGUGUUGCAAACAUCAUACGCUUUUUCAGCCCCUCCACUCCAAAAUGAAUUUGAAGAUUGACUGGACUUUAGGCUACUGAAGAUACCUAACCAAGACAUUUCGAUGAUGACUUUUGCCAUGCUGCGGCCCAUGGCCACUCAUCUGGUCUACCCAGAUCUUAGUAUGAUGUCUGAGGAUGAAGAGAACCGAAGUGAGAGCGACGGAAGUUCGGAUCAGAGCUAUGGAUGUUGUGCCACCACAGAAAAAAGACGGAGGAUGUCAAGAAAAUCUGGAGGGAACAGUGUUGUCAUUGUAAAGCAGAGGAACGCAGCCAAUGCACGGGAGCGAGACCGAACCCAAAGCGUCAACACAGCAUUUACUGCGCUUCGGACUCUGAUUCCCACAGAGCCGGUGGAUAGAAAGUUAUCCAAAAUAGAGACACUUCGCCUGGCAUCCAGCUACAUUUCACAUCUAGCCAACGUGCUGCUGGUCGGAGAUGGCAACGGUGAUGGACAACCCUGUCUUGGCGCAGUUUACGCACAAGGAGACAGCGGUGGAAAGCAACCGCGCACAAUCUGCACCUUCUGUUUAAGCAACCAAAGAAAAGGGAUAAAAGAUGGGAAAGAUUGUCUAAAAAUGAGAAGCGUUGGUUCACUGCGAAUGAGUCGCAAAACAGAACACAGCUAACACCGUCAUCAGCUCAAGCCCAAGUCCUCACAUUCUCAGGGAACAUUUAAAGCUGGUCAAAGAUACACAUACAUAUGCUGGACAAAAAGAUGGAAAUAGGCUACAGUGACUAUUUAUACUUGAUAAAUACUGAAGAUGUGCUGUGAGAAACAAGGCCUGUGAUGCACAAGCCUUUAAAGAAUGCAGUGCAUUUACAGAAUGUAUUGAUUUGUAAUUUUUUGUAUUUUGUGAACAACACUUGUAUACUACAGUGUACCACAUAAAAUAAAGUAUAUUUUUAUCUAGAUGAAUUUACAGGGACUUAUGUAUUUUAUUUGAUCCUGAAACGACGUGACUUUUCCUCAGUCCAGUUUCAUCAUAAAUGUAAUUAAGCUGCUUUUGAACGCCUGUCUGAAUAUUUAUUGUAGAAUUCCUGAAAAUGUUUUUAUUUUUUCCACCUAGAAACAUCAUAAACAUUCGCUAAUAAAACAUUUCAUGAUGUUUGAUUUAAAUGUCAAAAUGCCUGUUAUGGAUUUAAAUGACUAAAUGUUUUAGUGACGAUCUUUAAUGACAAACAAGUAACAUAUUUUCAAAGCAUGAUAACGUGUUAAAUAAAUGUGUUUAACGUUUUUAAAUGUUAAUGUAAAAAAGGGUUAUUAUUCAGCCUUUUAUUUUUGAAGAUCAUACUAUUUACAACAUGUGUAUGUCUACAUUUCUACAAGUAAUCCACAGACAAGAGAGAACAGAAAACGUUUUUAAAAUCAAUGCAAUGCUUAUUGUAGCUCGUAUUUUAAGAACAACAUAGAUUGUCUAUGAUAUGUGGGACAUCAGCAGGGGGCAAGGCAUUUAUUUCACAGAGUAUGCUUGAUUAGAGAGGGGUCUGCACUUCUACAAAGUGCCCAUUUUAAAUUACAUCUCUGUUUCUGUUGCUCUCUCUCUCUGUCUCUCUCUCUCUUUCUCUCUGUCUCUCUCUCUCUCUCUCUCUCUCUCUCUCUAUCUCUCUCUCUCUCUCUCUCUCUCUCUCUUAUUUCCAAUAGCUUUGCCAAGAAGUUGUUUAUGAAGUCUACAGAGCCAUAGCAAAGGGUCAGGGUUUCUUGUGUCAUUGACUGGUGUAUUUUUGCAAAUCUCACGGUUGCCAUUUUUGAAGUCUGGUAUCGAUUAGUCAUGGCAAAUAGUAGCCCUCUCUCUGCUUAGAGCCUUCCAGACAGCUGUGGGGAUGUCGAAGGUAUAAAUCACUGGUGUGGGCCUAGUGGACAGGGAGGUGGGGUGAGAGGUUGGAGGUCUUGGUGGAACACAAAAAACAAAGCUAAAGAAAUGAAACAAGAUCCGGUUGACAUCUUGACACAGUCCUCCACCAUGCUGUUGAAUUACUGGUUUUUAAACAUAUAUGAGGAGCCCCAAUCCCUCCCCACUUUCCCUGUCCGGCUCUGCCUGACAAUUUUCUUUGGUCAGACCCUCAUACUCCAGUCCCAGGGCUCGUCAAAUGGCUCCCUGCAGGCUCCCCAAGCAGGAAGAUGUCACAGAGGCACAGGAAGGAAAAACAUGCACAGUCGACCUCUCUGAGGUACUCUCUGUGCGGCACGCUCUGGGUCAACACCUGCCUUGACAUCAUCCGGCGCUGGGACCCAGAUGUACAGCUCUCUGUGGUACUUAAUGGCUUGCAUCUCCCUACAGCCCAAAAAGAACUCCUGCAGGAAGACUUUCAGCAGGGGUGAAAUGGAGCUAGACAGCACUUCCAUCCCUCUCAGUCUGACACCUGAGAUGAAUGUCCUACAUAUGGGUUCUACUUUUGUGAGAGGAGAAAUAAAUAUAUAUAAUUAUUUUUGUUUUUUAUGUCAUUUAUUCAUCACCAUUACUU
RNA transcript from Osmerus eperlanus (European smelt), 2575 nucleotides. It is a transcript of the gene named transcription factor 15, with no coding region annotated. The record is from RefSeq and is a predicted model, not a curated record. The transcript has 4 exons. NCBI's taxonomy places the organism in Eukaryota, Metazoa, Chordata, Actinopteri, Osmeriformes, Osmeridae.